AUGUGGGUCUUCUUCCGAUGGCAGCUUGUAGAAUUUCAUGGUCUUUUGAGUGGUGUUAAACCACUUUUAAUCUAUAUGUAUUAUGUUAUGCAUAUCCUUGAACGUCAGCCUAUUUUUCAAACUUUGUUGGUCAAACAUAGAGAGACAAAACCGCAGCCUAGCCUUUUUGCUUCCUUCAAAUAUGGUUUGAGUGAGCUUGAAUGCCUAUCGAGCAAGCCGUCCGUAAACAUCCUAUGUAGUGUACUUUUCUUCACACCCAAAGCUCUUGCGAGACUGCGUAUAGUUCUCCUUUGGCUGCAAUGA
This 303-nucleotide ribosomal RNA is filed under the name Triticum aestivum (bread wheat). Its description in RNAcentral is "partial small subunit ribosomal RNA". Lineage: Eukaryota; Viridiplantae; Streptophyta; Magnoliopsida; Poales; Poaceae. The record is from RNAcentral.